AAGUCGUAACAAGGUUUCCGUAGGUGAACCUGCGGAAGGAUCAUUAACACGUUCCAAACGUAUCAACCAAACCGCGAACUUUGACGUUGAGGCAUGUAUUGAGGAGUGGGUUCGUCCCUUCCUCUCUGCAUUGCCACCGAACAUGCUAGGGGAUUUAGUGUCUGCGUAGGGAGUGGGUCCGUCCCUUCCCUCACAGCGCUAGCCUUUAGCACUUGUUCACAUUAACCCAAACCCUGUUUGUUGUUAUUAUUUCUUCUGCUUAAAGGACGUGGCGUUUAUCGCUAUUGUCUCUUUAUUGCAAACUUGUACAACUCUUAGCAACGGAUGUCUUGGUUUCC
This 338-nucleotide unclassified non-coding RNA is filed under the name fungal sp. RNAcentral's name for it is "partial internal transcribed spacer region". The stretch from base 1 to 46 matches the Rfam family "Eukaryotic small subunit ribosomal RNA", at positions 1786 to 1831 of the family's 1831-position model. The record is from RNAcentral. Lineage: Eukaryota; Fungi.